This 1542-nucleotide ribosomal RNA is filed under the name Porphyromonas gingivalis. Its description in RNAcentral is "bacterial SSU rRNA". It matches the Rfam family "Bacterial small subunit ribosomal RNA". The record is from RNAcentral. Lineage: Bacteria; Pseudomonadati; Bacteroidota; Bacteroidia; Bacteroidales; Porphyromonadaceae.
UAUGACAGUGGAGAGUUUGAUCCUGGCUCAGGAUGAACGCUAGCGAUAGGCUUAACACAUGCAAGUCGAGGGGCAGCAUGAUCUUAGCUUGCUAAGGUUGAUGGCGACCGGCGCACGGGUGCGUAACGCGUAUGCAACUUGCCUUACAGAGGGGGAUAACCCGUUGAAAGACGGACUAAAACCGCAUACACUUGUAUUAUUGCAUGAUAUUACAAGGAAAUAUUUAUAGCUGUAAGAUAGGCAUGCGUCCCAUUAGCUGGUUGGUGAGGUAACGGCUCACCAAGGCGACGAUGGGUAGGGGAACUGAGAGGUUUAUCCCCCACACUGGUACUGAGACACGGACCAGACUCCUACGGGAGGCAGCAGUGAGGAAUAUUGGUCAAUGGGCGAGAGCCUGAACCAGCCAAGUCGCGUGAAGGAAGACAGUCCUAAGGAUUGUAAACUUCUUUUAUACGGGAAUAACGGGCGAUACGAGUAUUGCAUUGAAUGUACCGUAAGAAUAAGCAUCGGCUAACUCCGUGCCAGCAGCCGCGGUAAUACGGAGGAUGCGAGCGUUAUCCGGAUUUAUUGGGUUUAAAGGGUGCGUAGGUUGUUCGGUAAGUCAGCGGUGAAACCUGAGCGCUCAACGUUCAGCCUGCCGUUGAAACUGCCGGGCUUGAGUUCAGUGGCGGCAGGCGGAAUUCGUGGUGUAGCGGUGAAAUGCAUAGAUAUCACGAGGAACUCCGAUUGCGAAGGCAGCUUGCCAUACUGCGACUGACACUGAAGCACGAAGGCGUGGGUAUCAAACAGGAUUAGAUACCCUGGUAGUCCACGCAGUAAACGAUGAUUACUAGGAGUUUGCGAUAUACCGUCAAGCUUCCACAGCGAAAGCGUUAAGUAAUCCACCUGGGGAGUACGCCGGCAACGGUGAAACUCAAAGGAAUUGACGGGGGCCCGCACAAGCGGAGGAACAUGUGGUUUAAUUCGAUGAUACGCGAGGAACCUUACCCGGGAUUGAAAUGUAGAUGACGGAUGGUGAAAACCGUCUUCCCUUCGGGGCGUCUAUGUAGGUGCUGCAUGGUUGUCGUCAGCUCGUGCCGUGAGGUGUCGGCUUAAGUGCCAUAACGAGCGCAACCCACAUCGGUAGUUGCUAACAGUUUUCGCUGAGGACUCUACCGAGACUGCCGUCGUAAGGCGUGAGGAAGGUGUGGAUGACGUCAAAUCAGCACGGCCCUUACAUCCGGGGCGACACACGUGUUACAAUGGGAGGGACAAAGGGCAGCUACCGGGCGACCGGAUGCGAAUCUCUAAACCCUUCCCCAGUUCGGAUCGGAGUCUGCAACUCGACUCCGUGAAGCUGGAUUCGCUAGUAAUCGCGCAUCAGCCAUGGCGCGGUGAAUACGUUCCCGGGCCUUGUACACACCGCCCGUCAAGCCAUGGGAGUCGGGGGUACCUGAAGGGCGUAACCGCAAGGGGCGCACUAGGGUAAUACCGGUGACUGGGGCUAAGUCGUAACAAGGUAGCCGUACCGGAAGGUGCGGCUGGAACACCUCCUUUCUGGAG